This 956-nucleotide long non-coding RNA is filed under the name Calidris pugnax (ruff). RNAcentral's name for it is "lncRNA (ENSCPUG00000003438.1)". Lineage: Eukaryota; Metazoa; Chordata; Aves; Charadriiformes; Scolopacidae. The record is from RNAcentral.
GCCUGACAUUGGGAAAGGAGCUGUGUGGUCACUGAAUGGUGAGUACUGUUUCCUGCUCUUCAGAAACUGCGGAGGGGUAGGCAAGGAGCAGAGCUGGCAGUGCAACCAGUGCAUCUGACUGCCAAAUGUCUGUCUCAUAAACAUCCAGACACCUACACCAGAUACUGUCUGGACCCUGAGGAAGAUACUGGCUGAGUGCUGUAUAGUGAUCCUCAGCAGUGGUGAGACAGCUUCCAGAUGAAAGAGCCGAUGCCCAUGCAUCUAAGUCUGUGCUGAGUUCACCCUUUAGCUGCUGAAGUAGACAACUGACCUCAGAGAACCACUGGCUGUUGAAGGGACAUUUCUGGAAGCCGGUAAGCCUAAUGUUGAUUAUCAUCUGGCAAAAGAAUUGAGGAGGUGGCACUCACCAGUUUGAAAGCUCAUGCUCGUCAUCUCUGUGGGAGACUGAUGCAGGAUCUCUCAUACAACCGAGCCAAGCAGCUGGGUUCCCAGAGCAGAAGGCAGAUCGGGGUUCAGCUCCAAGACAUCCUGCUGGGAAGCAUGUUCUUUCUAGGAUAUGGCAUCCCUAAAAUCAGAAAUUGCUUUAAGGAAGUUGUGUGCUCAGAUACACCUAAGGAAAGCAGGAACCCUCAAUGGAAUUAAGUAUUCUGUGCUACUUAAUUAGUUUUUAGGUGCAGUUGUGUAUUCAAUUUAAAUGAAUCAGACUGGCAGGCUGAUAGAUUUCUUCAGAGAUGGGGGAAAGAAUUUAGAAAUACAAGAACACAUAUACAUGAAAAUGGGAAGAUAUGAAAAGUGUGUGGUUUUUAUUUUAUUUUUUUUUUAACCACCAGACAAUAUUUUUGGAGUGAGUCAAUGGAAAAAGAAUGGAAAGGGAAAAGAGGGACCUUCAGCAAUGGAAUUAAUGCUUUAAAAUUUGGAAGGAUAAGAAUAAACUGUGAAUACAAAAUAUCUUGCUG